Small nucleolar RNA from Dromiciops gliroides (monito del monte), 70 nucleotides. Lineage: Eukaryota; Metazoa; Chordata; Mammalia; Microbiotheria; Microbiotheriidae. The record is from RefSeq and is a predicted model, not a curated record.
UUUCAGUGAUGAGUCUAACUAGCUCACUAUGAUUUACAUAAAAAUGAAAAGGCUUGAACAUCUGAGAAAC